This 468-nucleotide ribosomal RNA is filed under the name uncultured bacterium. RNAcentral's name for it is "partial 16S ribosomal RNA". It matches the Rfam family "Bacterial small subunit ribosomal RNA", at positions 28 to 507 of the family's 1533-position model. The record is from RNAcentral.
GACGAACGCUGGCGGCGUGCUUAACACAUGCAAGUCGAACGGAAAGGCCCUGCUUUUGUGGGGUGCUCGAGUGGCGAACGGGUGAGUAACACGUGAGUAACCUGCCCUUGACUUUGGGAUAACUUCAGGAAACUGGGGCUAAUACCGGAUAGGAGCUCCUGCUGCAUGGUGGGGGUUGGAAAGUUUCGGCGGUUGGGGAUGGACUCGCGGCUUAUCAGCUUGUUGGUGGGGUAGUGGCUUACCAAGGCUUUGACGGGUAGCCGGCCUGAGAGGGUGACCGGCCACAUUGGGACUGCGAGACGGACCAGAGUCCUACGGGAGGCAGCAGGGGGGAAUAUUGCACAAUGGGCGGAAGCCUGAGGCAGCAACGCCGCGUGCGGGAUGACGGCCUUCGGGUUGUAAACCGCUUUCGCCUGUGACGAAGCGUGAGUGACGGUAAUGGGUAAAGAAGCACCGGCUAACUACGUG